AACGAACGCUGGCGGCGUGCUUAACACAUGCAAGUCGAACGCGAAAGGGACUUCGGUCCUGAGUAGAGUGGCGCACGGGUGAGUAACGCGUAGAUAAUCUGUCCUUGUGUCUGGAAUAAUACGUCGAAAGGUGUACUAAUACCGGAUAUUCUUGCUUUUCACAUGAGAGGUAAGCAAAGGUGGCCUCUGACAUAAGCUACUGCAUAAGGAGGAGUCUGCGUACCAUUAGCUAGUAGGUGGGGUAAAGGCCUACCUAGGCUGCGAUGGUUAGCUGGUCUGAGAGGAUGAUCAGCCACACUGGAACUGAGACACGGUCCAGACUCCUACGGGAGGCAG
This 336-nucleotide ribosomal RNA is filed under the name uncultured Pseudomonadota bacterium. Its description in RNAcentral is "bacterial SSU rRNA". It matches the Rfam family "Bacterial small subunit ribosomal RNA", at positions 29 to 351 of the family's 1533-position model. The record is from RNAcentral. Lineage: Bacteria; Pseudomonadati; Pseudomonadota.